CACUUUCUAAAUAAAUCAGAUCAAUUUCAGAAGAUUUGAGGUCCAGAGAGAGAUUCCAUUUACACCACAAAUCAUCACACUCCAUUCUCUUGAGGACUACAUUCCCGGCUUUCCAAAGGACAUCUGUGCAACAAAUUUAUAGACUCAACUUCCAGCUUCAAGGGGUGGCGGUUUCAAUUAAGAAAAGCUAUAACGUUUACCGUCAA
Molecule: long non-coding RNA, 206 nt
Filed under: Homo sapiens (human)
Lineage: Eukaryota; Metazoa; Chordata; Mammalia; Primates; Hominidae
Description: HSALNT0105244
Source: RNAcentral